Molecule: long non-coding RNA, 515 nt
Filed under: Fukomys damarensis (Damara mole-rat)
Lineage: Eukaryota; Metazoa; Chordata; Mammalia; Rodentia; Bathyergidae
Description: lncRNA (ENSFDAG00000024852.1)
Source: RNAcentral
GGAACGGCCUACACCAAGGAUCAGAUCAGGAGCAGCUACUGACCAGGAAACCUGAGGUGGAGCCCAGUGGCCUCCUGGGGUGGAGAUCAAAGGUAAAAAAGUGUCACCGUGCCAGGUGUGGUGGCGCACACUUGCAAGCCUAAGGCAGAGGAAGGAGGAUCGCAGUGAGUUAGAGGCCAGCCUGGGCUACACAGAUCACGGCCAGCCUGAACUACAAAGGGAGACCCCGUCUCAAAACAAACAAACAACACACAUGUCACCACUUUUAUGAUGUCACUUUAAACUUGAAUAAGCUUAAACCACUUACUGAAAAAAUCCUGCGUAAUUUCAAAUUGAUGUUGACGUUGAAAAGGAUUGCCAGCAAGGACAGCGUCCUGUGGCUGUGAGCAGUACUCUGAAGUGAAUCUAGCCGUGAUUGUGGCUACCUCAUAAACACUUGCCUUUUCCUGUUUAUUAAACUUGUAAAGAAACAUAAUGUUAGAGCCGCUUUAAUUCAUAUGAAAAAUUAAUCCCUU